GCCGCACUUUGGCUCGGGUGAGGCUUUGGGAGCGCUGGGCUGGAUCGGCCGCCGGUUCAGCCCAAGGGAGGCGCUCCCGGCCGGAGCAGGAGCCGCAGCUCCCGGCACCCUCGGCAGCAGCAAAGCAGAACCGCGAAAAAAGAUUAAAAAAAUGGGAAUAAGGGGUUUUUAACAUUCCACAGGCUGGGAUGCUGUUGCUUCACUCCGGGAUGGUGCUCGCUCCCGGCUCGCAGGAUUCUCAGCUCCUAACUCCCCGUGCUUCUGAACUCAUCCUCUGCCAUCCAUAGGGGUUUUUUCCUUCCCUCCUGGAGCAAAGCCGAGCAGGAUAACCGGCUGAUUGUUUGAUCUGUCCACGCCAGCCCGGAAUAAAAUCUCGUUUUUAAUGAAGCGCCAAGGAAAGCCGGAGCUCAGCACAAUUCCCUGCCCGCCGGAGAUCCCAAUCUCGCCCUGCCGGCAGAGCGGAGCGGGCGCUGCCGCUCCAUGAGCCGGCAUUCCCGGCAGGGAGGCGAGCGCAGCCUGCUCCCGCAUCCCUGGCUCCGGCAUUCCCGGCUCCCCCAUCCCUGGCUCCGGCAUUCCCGGCUCCCCCAUCCCUGGCUCCAGCAUUCCCGGCUCCCGCAUCCCUGGAUCAAGCAUCCUCGGCUCCAGCGUGUCUGGAUCCCGCAUUCCUGGAUCCAGCACUCCCGGAUCCCUCACUCUCGGAUCCCGCAUUCCCUGCUCCAGCAUUCCCGGCUCCAUCAUUCCCGGAUCCUUCAUUCCCAGCUCCAGCAUUCUCGGAUCCCGCAUUCCCUGCUCCAUCAUUCCCGGAUCCUUCAUUCCCGGCUCCAGCAUUCCCGACUCCCGGGCUGCCCCGGCCGCCGAGGGAGCGAUGGAAAAUCCCUGAGCCAGCGCCUGGAAAAUCCGUGCGGCAAAGGCCCAUUUUGCCCCUGGUGAGUUUUCUGUGUUUUUUGUGGCGUGGUGUGACCUACUCAGAGAGGAGCAGAGCCCUUAUCCCUCCCUGGCCAUAUGUUCCCAGAAAUAAUCAUCAUUUUCCAUCAGGGCUGCUAUGUGGGCUCUUCCCUGUCUACUUUGUUGUCCCUGGUUGAGUUUUUAUAAAUUUGCUGUGGAAAUCUGAUGGGCUUCACAGCAGAAAUGUGUGUCUGGAGGCAGGACUCCUUCCCCACCAACAAUAAAGUAUUGUCAACCCCAUAAAAAUCUAUUUUG
This 1200-nucleotide long non-coding RNA is filed under the name Junco hyemalis (dark-eyed junco). RNAcentral's name for it is "lncRNA (ENSJHYG00000003630.1)". Lineage: Eukaryota; Metazoa; Chordata; Aves; Passeriformes; Passerellidae. The record is from RNAcentral.